UUUGAACCUAUCAACAAUUUGCCCUGCUACUUUAAAGUCCUGCCAAGAACUCAGGACCUCAAGGUCUGGAGUGUAUAUAAAACCAAGGGUUUCCGAGCAAGCUGAAAUUCAAGUUGUGGUCCAAGAUGUCAAUAUUUUGGAGCAAGCCGAAAUUCAAGUUGUGGUCCAAAAUGUCAAUGUUUUGGAGCCAGCUGAAAAUCAAGUUGUGGUCCAAGAUGUCAAUGUAAAUUUCUAAGUUGUCAAAUUUUAGAUACUAAACUCUGUCAUUGAUUUAUAUGUGAUUAUUUUAUGUAGGCCAUAUGAUGUUUUAGAACAUGUUUUUUAUUUAUUUUUCAGGUUUUUUGGGGCCAGCUGAAAAUCAA
This is a non-coding RNA of Misgurnus anguillicaudatus (oriental weatherfish), 362 nucleotides long. NCBI's taxonomy places the organism in Eukaryota, Metazoa, Chordata, Actinopteri, Cypriniformes, Cobitidae. The record is from RefSeq and is a predicted model, not a curated record.